This is a long non-coding RNA of Triticum dicoccoides, 435 nucleotides long. RefSeq lists it as uncharacterized. The record is from RefSeq and is a predicted model, not a curated record. The transcript has 3 exons. NCBI's taxonomy places the organism in Eukaryota, Viridiplantae, Streptophyta, Magnoliopsida, Poales, Poaceae.
ACAUGCAACCUUCGUAGAAAAGUUUGACACAACAUGCUCCGCCGUCGCCAUCGCCAGGAACCGCCGCCUCGAGCCUUGCCCGAGCACAUCUUUGCACACCUGCAGGCGCGAUACCUCGAGACCGAUGAUGACUCGAUGAUCAUCUACCUUGUCGAAGACCCGUUGGUGUCUGCAAAGGAACCAGAUGACGGAGCCCCUGAGACCGUUGCCACCGCCGCCGACUACUACUACCCCGAGGGUGCCUAAUACCACGUGACAGACGCCGAUGACCAAGAGUAGUUAGGAGGAUCCCAGGCAGGAGGCCUUGCCUUUUUGAUCGAUGUUGCUUCUGUGCUAGCCUUCUGAAGGCAAGCUUGUUUAACUCAUGUCUGUACUCAGAUAUUGUUGCUUCCACUGACUCGUUUGUAUUCGAACUGAUGUAUUCGAGCCCUCGAG